Molecule: ribosomal RNA, 407 nt
Filed under: uncultured bacterium
Lineage: Bacteria
Description: bacterial SSU rRNA
Rfam family: Bacterial small subunit ribosomal RNA
Source: RNAcentral
GACGAACGCUGGCGGCGUGCUUAACACAUGCAAGUCGAGCGAGAGCCAGCUGAGGGGUAACCCUCGGCUGGGGACAGCGGCGAACGGGUGCGUAACACGUGGGCAACCUGCCCCUGACACUGGGAUAACCCCGGGAAACCGGAGCUAAUACCGGAUACUCUCGGCCGAUCACAUGGCUGGCCGAGGAAAGGUCCGCCGGUCAGGGGAUGGGCCCGCGGCCUAUCAGCUUGUUGGUGAGGAACGGCCCACCAAGGCGACGACGGGUAGCUGGUCUGAGAGGACGACCAGCCACACUGGAACUGAGAUACGGUCCAGACUCCUACGGGAGGCAGCAGUGGGGAAUAUUGCACAAUGGGCGAAAGCCUGAUGCAGCGACGCCGCGUGAGGGAUGAAGGCCUCGGUUGUAA